UACGUAGGGAGCAAGCGUUGUCCGGAAUCAUUGGGCGUAAAGCGCGUGUAGGCGGCUUGGUAAGUCUGCUCUGAAAGCCCGGGGCUCAACCCUGGGAGGCGGGUGGAUACUGCUGAGCUCGAGUCCGGAAGAGGCGAGUGGAAUUCCUGGUGUAGCGGUGAAAUGCGCAGAUAUCAGGAGGAACACCAACGGCGAAGGCAGCUCGCUGGGACGGUACUGACGCUGAGACGCGAAAGCGUGGGGAGCAAACAGG
This 253-nucleotide ribosomal RNA is filed under the name uncultured bacterium. Its description in RNAcentral is "partial 16S ribosomal RNA". It matches the Rfam family "Bacterial small subunit ribosomal RNA", at positions 524 to 776 of the family's 1533-position model. The record is from RNAcentral.